GACGAACGCUGGCGGCGUGCCUAAUACAUGCAAGUCGAACGCAGCGGGGACGGGUGAGUAACACGUGGGUAACCUCCCAUCAGAGGGGAUAACACUUGGAAACAGGUGCUAAACCGAUACUGAUGGAUGGACCCGCGGUGCAUUAGCUAGUGGGUGAGGUAACGGCUCACCAAGGCCACGAUGCAUAGCCGCCCUGAGAGUGUGAUGGGCAACACUGGGAGUGAGCCACGGACCAGACUCCUACGGGAGGCAGAAGUAGGGAAUCUUCGGCAAUGGAAGAAAGACGAACCGAGCGACGCCGCGUGAGUGAAGAAGGUUUUCGGAUCGGAAAACUCUGUUGUUAGAGAAGCGGUAUCUAACCAGAAAGCCACGGCUAAAUACGUGACAGCAGCCGCGGAAAAAC
RNAcentral lists this ribosomal RNA (403 nucleotides) under uncultured bacterium. RNAcentral describes it as "partial 16S ribosomal RNA". It matches the Rfam family "Bacterial small subunit ribosomal RNA", at positions 28 to 526 of the family's 1533-position model. The record is from RNAcentral.